UUUUAAUGAUUCAAAAUAUGUUCUACGCAGCCUAUUGCAAAGGCGGUGGGAGACUGGUAUUACGACAGGAGUCCAUUCCAAAAGAUUGAUUGCCCUUACCCCUGCAACCCAUUGCCAGAGAGUUGCUUUUGAAUGGACCUAUUAAUGUAAUGUACACACACAUAAAAUUACAGAUCUUGUGUCAAAGCAGAACAAAAUUUAAGAGUCAAGAUCAUUGAGUAGUCAUCAAUGAGCUUGACUGAGUGAGAAUAAAAUGGAUAAAGAGUAUAUGAUUGAUUGAUCAAGUCAAUGAAAUAAUUAAACAAAGGCAAACCACUGCACUCAUGUGCUGGGUGUCUUCUAUCAUUUUCUUAUGUAAUUUAUUGUUAGAACUUCAGUGAAAUAAAUAUUCAUUACUUGUUGUUGGAUUGUUUGCAGUAGAAGAUCAAUUAUUUAGAAAUCAUUUUGUUUAAUUUAGUGAGGGAGAAUGUCAAUUUGUCCCCUUCUGUAAUUAAUAUAUACCAUUUAUCCUCAUAUUGUUUUUAUAAUAUUCAAUAACCCUGAUAGCAUAAGUUCACAAUAUUGUCAUUAUUUUCAAAUACAUUUAUAUUUAUAUUUAUUAUAGAUUAAAUAAAUCGCAUAAAUAGAAAUUAAAAUGAAAAAAAUUAACUAUUAAAAACAAGAAAUAUAUAUUUUGAUAUGAACAAAAAUAAUAAUUUUUUUGCUUGUACCUUUUGAUUUUGUAAAAGUUUUCUUAUAAUAAAUAUUUUAAAAUAUUUUAAAAUUAAAUGUAAAAACUUCAAGAAAAAUAUUUUAUUAUUUAUUUUAUAAUAAUUUUUUAUUUAUCAUCAAGUUUUCUUAUAAUUAUUUUUUUAUCAUUUUAUAAUAAUUUUUGUUAUAUAUUUUUCUAUAAGAAACUGAUUAUAAAAUAAAAAAGUACAAGGAAAUAUUUUAUUAUUAGUUUUUUUCACAUCAAAACAUAUAUUUCUUAUUUUUAAUAGUUAAUUUUUUUCAUUCAUGUGAUUUAUUUUGUCUAUAAUAAACAUAAAUAAAAAUGUAUUUGAAAAUAAAGACAAUAUUGUAAACUUAUACUGUAAGGCAGUUUAUUGGCUAUUAUAAAAACAGUAGAGGAUAAAUAAUAUAUAUUUAUUACAGUAGAGAGGAAAUUGAUAAUCUCCCAAUUUAGUAAUGUCUUAAGAACCUCCUUUUUCCUUUUAACCUUUCAUAGUAAUGGACUAUUAUGUGAAUGCAUAGUUAUUUUUUAUUGCAUAAAUACCAAGUUUAAUUAAAGCUAAUAUUAUAAAAAUAAAAUGCUCUUGGAUCUUGGCAACUUUUUUUCCUUAAAAAAAUACACUAAUUAUUUAUUUUUUUAAAAUUAACUACUCUAAAAUUUUUUAUAAUUCCAGAAGUAUUUUAUGCAAUCAAUAAAAUAAGGAAAAUUGUCAUUGCCCCACCGUCCUUUUACCUUUUGUUCAGUUAAGCACACAAAAUUUUAACAUGUUCUUUGCACAAUCUUUCUUUUUAAAUUUGUAUCAAUUAGCCACUUUUACACUAACACCGUUGAAUAAUUUAAACGAAAUAAUAAUUUUACCCCUAAAUAAAUUAAAAGACCAUUUUAUCUAAUUUCUGGAUUGUCAUUUCGUUUAAAUUAUUCAACGGUGUUAGUGCAAAAAUGACUAAUUUAUACAAAUUUUAAAAGAAAGGUGGUGCAAAGAACAUGUUAAAAUUUUGUAGCGGUUAAAUGAACAUAAGGUAAAAUAAAUGUGGUGUAAUGAUAAAUUUCCAUAAAUAAAUAGUAAAAUAAAUGUGGUGUAAUGAUAAUUUUUCAUUAAAAAAAUAGUAUUUUUUUUGGGGAAAGGAACAAAUAAUAUUUUUUGAACAAAAAAAUUCAUCAAUUUGAAGUUCAAAUCAAAAUAACACUAAAAGUUCACUCUUCAUGUCUUUAAGAACAUAGAUCAAUUAUAUUACACCCCAACAUUUGAGUUCAUACUCCCAAAUAUCCCCCCCAAAAAAAAAUCAUGUGAUAGACAUCUAUCCAUAUCUUAAAUUUCAUCUUAAAUGAUGUGUCAUUCAGAAAAUUAAUUUUUUAUAAUAAUUAAAAAAUUAAUUUUUAUAAUAAAAAACCUUUCAAUAAUUAAAAAGAAAAUACCAAGAAACUCCAGCUCUUGACAUGAGCCAUAAAAAAAAAAUUAUAAUGUGCCGUCAAGAUACAUAUCUUAUUGGGUUUAAAAAUGGAGUGACCUGAUUUGUAGACGGUCCAAAUUUGAAGACGGUCCAUCCUUGGCCCACCCCACAAUUUCACCAUUGCAUACUUACAUUGACAAUGAAUACCCUUCUCUCGGGGUUUUUAAUUAAAGAUGCCCAAAAAAUGGGAUAUUUAAUUAAAUAUAUCUUAUGGUUGAAAAUUAUUCAUAUAUUUUUUUAUACAGUACAUUAUCUCAAAUAUCCUUAAAGAAAAAUAUGAAACACAUAUAAAAUAUAAAACACAUAAUUAAAGAUGCCCUAAAAAUGGGGUAUUUAGUUAAAUACCGACUAUUAUCGUGUAUUUAAAUUAAGUAUUCCUUGAAUUAUGUGAUCAUCCUAUUAUAUCACAUAAAUUGUACAAAACUAUCUUAUUGUCUUUGAAUAUUACACUUAACAAAAAAUAAUUUAACACUAUCAGUUGGAAAUACCUGACUGUAAUCUUGUGUAUAUGAAAAUACCUAAUUAUAGUUGUGUACCUAUAAAAAUACCUGACUGUAUUAAUGUAUUUUAGCCGCUCAUUCCUUCAAUAUAUAUGAACACCCUGAUAUAUAACAAACAUUAUACAAAACUAUCUUCUUUCUCAAUAAUAUACUUAACCAAAAAAAAAAGUGAAUACUGAUGUAAAAUCAUCUUUAAUGAUAUCAAAUGUCAACAACAUCCCCAUUGCAACUAUUACAUCUCAUGAUAACUAAUCAAAAAAAUGCCAAAAUCACAACAAUAGAGUUUUUAAGGGUAUGACACUAUGUAGUUGGUUUUAACGACAUGUGUCCAAAUAAUUUGACAGCCAAUGCUUUUCGAAAUUGUUUAACAUUAUCCUAUUGACAAUAUUUUUUGCCGUCAAGGCCAUGGGUUAGGACCUCCAAGUACUACAACAAAAAUGCUUCACAAUCACUACUAAUAAAAUUCAUAUACAUCAAUAAUAAAAUCACCAUUCUUAUUGAAAUAUAUAUAUAUAUGAUGUACUCAAUUGCAUCCCUUGAUUUUAUUGCGGGAUAUUACGUACUCACUAGGAUGAUCUUUAAUUAUGUCUUCCACUACAUCUAGUGAUAAUCGAUUAGAAGUCUUUGCUUUGAAGUAUUCAGAUUCCUUAAUUUUCAGUUCCAUUUAUAAACAUAAAAUAUUUUAAUUAUAAUAUAAAACGACUGAAAAGUUGCAUAAUAAUAUAUUCUAAACCAAUAAAAAAAAAUUACAUGACACACCAGUCGAGUAAAGCAAUCAUUACACGACUAUUGUCGAGCAAAACAUUCAUUACAUGACUAUAGCCGAGUAAAGUAUUCAUUACAUGAUUAUAGUCGAGUAAAGCAUUCAUUACACGACUACAACAAGCAUCAAAUAUGUUUUGACUUCUAUAUUUCCUUGGAUUUAAAUAAUUUCAUGAUAAAACAUAAUGCUUACAACAUAAAACUAAAUAAAAGCUAAAUAUGUUUGGACUUCUAUAUCUCCUUGGAUUCAAAUCUCUGUACAUAAUUUUAAGUGAAUGAUAGUAUGGAAAAGAAUUUACUUUAAUAAGGCUUGUCAAUGAAUAGAGAGAAUGAAAAUUUUGUUUAUUAUAAAAAAUAUAUUGAUGGACCAUUAAAUAGCCAAAUGGACAUUUAAUCAUUAACAUAUUAUUUGAAAUCCAUUCAAUAUGGGUAAGAAAUAACUAGAAUUGUAAAUUGAAGAUUCUAUAGCAAAUAAUAAAGAAAACCCAAAUUGCGACAAAAUGAAUGCAUACAGAGCUGAAGAAAAUUAAUAUAUAAUUCCCACGGAUGAAGUCCAGCUACAAACAACAAAUAAAAUUAAACGCAUAUCUAAUAGAUAAAUCAGUGUAGCCAUAACCGAGUAGUCACAAGGAUAAUAUUUGCUCUAUCCAAUUCCCUCUGAAUAUUUAAUUAGGAACUCCUAUAACCAUUACAAGGAGAGUAAGCUCCCUUGAAAUCACUCUCUUCAAUUUCAACUCCACAAGUUCAAGAAGCUUCAUUACAUGAAUCAGGAAGAAACAUUAUCAGCAAGCAUGCAAGUGAAACAAAUAACUCGGCUAACUACAACAAUGACCAAAAUCACGUGAGCAAUUUUUUUUUUAAACCCUAAUGCAUAUAAACCCAACAAUUAUGAAUCCUAAAUCCUCUUUAUGAAGUAAAAAUUAAGUGUAAAUGUGGUAAAUAACCUUUAAUUCGGUGAAUUUCCGGCCUAUAGUUUGGUGAAUUUCCAAUGAAAGUAGCGGAUUUGUGGUGUUAGAACCAGCAGCAGAAGUAUCCUGGGCGUUGAAAUAUUAGAUUUUGAAUUGCUGUAAUUUUGUAAUUGCACAUUGAAAAAAAGCAUAUAUGAGAACAUUUUAAUUAUGAGGGUGUAUUUAGGUAAAUACCCUACUUUUGGGGUAAGGCGUGGACAAAUUCCUGCUUCUCUCUCAAUCUCAAAAACACAACCUUCGCCCUUCGGUUGCGGUUGCAGUGUUAAUGGAUUGGAGUUUUGUACACAAAACUUGGGAAAAAUGGGCUUCUACCAGUGUUGGCUCUUCCGGUAAUGUACCCUCCAAGAACCCCCUCGGGCUUUUCAUUAUUUUAGUUAUUACCACGUUAGAUAUAUUAGAUUUAUAAUUUAUAUAAUAAAAGGCUGCUGAUCAUGCCAGUGCAAGAGCUAUAGAGUAAGCAGCCAUUGAUUUUUGUUUCUAAAUUUUGCUUGUAGGUGAGCCCUUGAAGGCGGCUUUGCUUAUCAACCAGGACCCCACUGGUCCCUCUCGUUUGUUAUCCACUAUGUCAGCUUCGUGCUUUUUUUUUUUUUUAAUAUAUAUUUUAAAUACCCUUUUAUAUAUAUGUUGUUCUGUUCAUAAGCAGUGAAAUUUUGAAGCUUCGUUAUGGUUUGUGCAGUGCAGAACAAGAAAGGUAUCAAGGCCGACGCGAUUGACUUGACUGAAUUUGUUGAUUUUGUCAAACUCAAUAAACUUCAGACUGACUGCUUUGUUAUUGGACAAAAAACCAAUGCAAGCUAUUCGUGUCUCCUUUACAUUUGUGAGUGAAAUUCAAUUGUUGGACUUGAAUUUUGCGGUGAAUUAUUUAUUAUUGCUAGAGUUGCUAGUAAGUUGAUCGUAAUGGUUUUAUCAUAUUGAUGACAAUUGACGCAGACGUAGUUACCUCGAUUCAUGAGAAUAUGACAAUUUUUAUAAGAGGAAAAGAGAGAGUCGUUCUCUUAAUCAAGAAAAAUACCAUUAAAUUUAGAAUAUAAAAAUUAAUGGCUGAAAAAUUAACAUGUGCGUGAUCGGUCAAAUAUUCUAAAUCCUUGAAAUUAAAAUAACUUGAAAAAUUAAUAUUGAAAAAAAAUAAAUGAAAUUGUCACUUUCGAUCACAUAAUCAAUGAAAAUCAGGAUAUAAUCAACACCUAUUUAUUUUAUUUCUAAAUUAUGACUUUUUCAUUAUUAUUCAAAGAAGGGAGUUUUUCUUUAAAAAACUCUCACCAUAAUAUAAGUGGCUUAAACCUUUUUUUUUGUUUUGAAAUAUAAAUUAACUUAAAAGCAAACAAGUAGUAAAAUUAUCUUUUAAGAAGGCUUUAUAUAUGCAGAGAGGACUAGUCCACCUAUGUCAAUUCUUCCAAGUGAGUGAAAUUGUGUGACUUUAUUUAAUUAGAAGGAGCAACAACUUCAAUCUCUAUUUAUACGUCAUUAUCCUUUAGCUAUAUUUGUGCGACUUUAUUUAUACGUAGGGAAAUGAGUUAACAAGUUAUAUUUUCCAAGCACCAAGGUAAAUUACUCCUUAGGUCAUUAUGGUCAAUAAAUGAGUCUUCAUUUUACAAUUAAUAAAUGUAUAAAGUAUUUGAACUAAUUAAUAGUAUAGUAUUAUAUAUGUUAAAUUCUUCAAAAAGUAAGAUAGAAUGUAUACUUGAUGUUUGAGGGAAAAAUAGGAAAGGCAAUAGAGCGCCACGUGUUAACCAAUGGAAUGAUUUCAGCACAAUCGGAGGGUACCCUGCACAAUCCGAGGUGCCCGGCAUGACUUGAGGAACACCGUGUCAUGCUAAUCCCCAAAAACACUCACACUCCAAAAAAUAGGUUUUCUUCAACCUUAAACCCUAAUUUACAGAGGGCUAGCUAGCUCUCUUUGCCAUAAAAGCUUGAGUUUGCUAACUUGAGCGUCGGAGUGUGAACGCCGGGGUACCCCGGCUUCACCUCUAACCUCUAUUUCAUUGUUUUGCAGGCGUGAAGCUCAUUUUGAAGGACACCUCUCUCAUCUCUGACCUUCCACCAUUGUUACCACUCUCUCUCCCAUUCUCACUUCCUCCGAAUUUCAGAUACACCGCACCGCACACAAUAAACUAGUGAGGUACCCCAUCUCCCCCAAAAAUAUAAAUUCAUUGUUCAAGAUUGAUUUUGGAUUUUCCUACCCCAAAACAGUUGAAAACAAUUGGCGCCGUCUGUGGGGAACUCGCACAAAAAGCCUCCUCCGCGGUUACCAAACUAGUUGUUGUGUGUACUCCAAUACAUGGCACCUAACGUACCUCCCGAAUGUUUAAUGGGGGAUCCUACAAGGAUGAGAGAUGACAUCAGCAGUGAAGGUAAUGAUCCCGCAAGGAGGGUAGCCCGCAUUAACAAGGGCAAGGGUAUCAAGCAAUCGACGGGUGUUCGCCAAGAGAAGGAACCUAUUUCGUACAAGCGUUUUGAGGAUCUCGCCCACGCAAUACUUAGGGCGGUCGGAUCUCGGUCACCCGAAAGUUCACUUCCACCAGUGACGCUAGAAGCUCCACCACCUCAAACGGACGAUCAAGCUAUAGUCAGAAGAGGGGUACCCGAGGCCAGCAAGCCAAGGCAUAGGCCUUCGGGUACCCGUUCUAAGUUUCAAACCGUGGGCUCCCGAGACGAGCGUUCCACCGCCUCUUGCAAUUCCCGCAGCAGCCAGGGUACGAGGCGUGCAAAGCAUACCCACGAGGAUCUCCGUGAGAAGUUAAACGCCAAAAGGGCUUCUCAAACGGCGGCGACAUCAUCGGGUACCCCACGAACUUGUGGAAAAAAUGGAGAAUCUGGAAGCCCAAGUGAAGCUCCUCUCCGAAAAGCAAAACAUCACAGCUGCUCUAACGCCAAUGACCUACCAAUCGCCAUUCACUAUGGAGAUUCGGAAGGCAGCUCUCCCCGAGGUGUUCGCCAUGCCUCAGAUACCCCAAUACUCGGGUACCACUGAUCCCUCGGAGCAUGCUGAGCUAUACCGCGACCAAAUGCUUAUCAAGGGUGUAGAUGAGAGCGCCAUGUGUAGGAUGUUUACACACACACUCACGGGCCCCGCGAAGUCGUGGUUUCGGUCUUUGAAAGCGGGUAGCAUAUCUUCCCUACACCAAUUGCUAUCCGAAUUUACUAAAGAGUUUUCCUACGCCUCCACUCAAGAUAGGGUAGCCUCCAAACUUGCCUUUAUCAAGCAAGGGGAAGCCGAGCCUUUGGCGGAGUACGUGAGUCGUUUCCACCAAGAGGUGCUGCGAACCGGAGCAUUUGGAAACCAAUACACAUUGACCCAUUUUGAGAAAAAUUUGCGGUUGGGCAAGUUAUGGCGUUCUUUUCAAAAGAAGCGCCCACUUUCAUAUGGGGAAGCCCGUUCCCGGGCGUUGCAGCAGGUGGAGAUGGACGAGAAAUGUCAAUUGAAGCGCCAAGAAGAUAAGGCCGAUGUUACAAAGAACAAGGAGAAGCCCAAGAGGGUGGAGGCCCCAAUACCGCGGGUACCCCGAGCACGGAGCCCUCCACGGGCUGCCUUGCGGGGACGAGGGUAUAACCCUCAGGGUGCCUCAAGGGUACCCCAACCUCCAAGAUCGCCACCAUCGAAUCAGCGAGAGCCACCGCCAAGGCCUCGGUACGAAUCUUACCACCCACUGAAUCGAUCCCCAGAGCAGAUCUUCUACCAUAUUCGGGAUAGCGGCCUCCUCUGUCCUCCUAAGCCAAUGAAGAAGUACCCCAACAUGAAGCGUAGCCUGAAGUAUUGCGAGUUCCAUGAAGACUUUGGUCACAGCACAGCCGAGUGCUUCACCUUACGAGAAGAAAUUGAAUCUUUGAUUCUCAGCGGGUACCUCAAAGAAUUUGUUGCUGGCAUGAGAGAAGCUCGGAAAUCUGCGGAACAUGAUAAAGGCAAGCGGGUAGCUGAUGGCAGUCCCGAACGAGAGGUACCCCCUGGACACAAGAAAGACGUGUAUGUCCGAAUGAUCAUGGGCGGACCGACUUUAGCGGGCCAAUCUAGGAGGGCUAUCAAAGGCUAUAGUAGAUCGUUGUCGAUAACCACCAAUAUUGGCAGAGAAGUCAACUUUAAUGAAUGGGGUACACCGAAGGUACCCCACCAUCCCCCGCCUAUCAUUUUUACAGAAAAAGAUGCGGAGGGCAUCUCGUACCCCCACGACGAUGCCUUCGUAAUCACGUUGAAGGUUGCCACUGGUAAGGUAGCAAGAACUCUCGUAGAUACCGGCAGCUCCGUUGACAUCAUUUUCAAAAGCACCUUAGAUCAACUAUUGAUUGAGUCGCCAAAGAUCACCCCCUAUGCUACGCUUCUUAUUGGGUUCGCUGGAGAUAUGGUUAUACCAAAGGGCAUCAUUACGCUGCCCGUUACAUUUGGUAAGGUACCUCACCGUGUUGUUCACAUGAUUGAUUUUCUUAUUGUAGAUCACCCGGGUGCCUACAAUAUUAUAUUGGGUAGGCCGUUCUUAGUAGCAACUAAAGCGGUGGUAUCCAUGCACUACCACGCCAUGAAAGUCCCGGCCGCCCAAGAAGUUAUCACCAUUAAAGGGGACCAGCAAUCGGCUCGUGGAUGUUAUUCCGUGGCCUCCAAAGUUACUUACCAAAUAGCUUCCGAUCCACCAAUGAAGGGGUACCCCAGCGGCAGCCAGCCCACACCUUCCCCUUCAAAGCGAGCACUUGCUAGACAGCGGAGAGCAGUACUCAAAAAAUCUCCUCAGGUAGCCCACCCACGAAAACAAUUGGAGUCUUCACCAAUGGGGGUAGAAGCAGUUACGGGGGAUAGCUCGAGGGUACCCCACAGGGACCAGGAGGAGCCUAGAUGUGAAGUUGAGGCACCUUUGGAUCCUCGAAUAUUGAAAGAUAAAAAGCGGGGUACCCUAGUUGAAGACCUUAUUUCAGUCUCGAUUUGUGCCACCGACCCAACAAAGACAGUGAAAGUAGGCUCCAACCUCUCGGAGGAACAAAGAGAGAAGCUCAUCACAUUCCUACGCGAGCACCACGAUGUAUUCGCUUGGUCCUACUCGGAUAUGCCGGGUAUCCCACCUUCCCUCUCUUGUCACAAACUCAAUGUCAGCCCGCAUAAUAAACCGGUCAAACAGAAGCGUCGCGCCUUCAACCAAGAGAGGUAUGAUGCAAUUGAACAAGAGGUAGACCGCCUAUUAGCAGCAAGGUUUAUCCGGGAAGCAGUGUACCCUGAUUGGGUAUCCAACGUUGUUCUAGUCAAGAAAUCAAACGGAAAGUGGCGCAUGUGUGUGGACUUCACUGAUUUGAACAAGUCCUGCCCCAAGGAUAGCUUCCCGCUUCCUCAGGUGGACCAGCUGGUUGAUGCAACAGCGGGGCAUGAGAUGCUUAGUUUUAUGGACGCCUUCUCCGGGUACAACCAAAUUCCAAUGUAUGAACCCGAUCAAGAGAAAACGGCUUUCAUCACCAAUCGUGGAUUAUACUGUUAUAAGGUUAUGCCGUUCGGUUUGAAGAAUGCCGGGGCUACCUAUCAACGGCUGGUGAACAAAAUUUUCAAGGAACAAAUCAGGCGCACCAUGGAGGUGUACAUAGACGAUAUGAUCACCAAAUCGGUGCAUGCGGGGGAACACUUGGGGCACCUCAGAGAUACCUUUACCGUUUUGAGAAAACACCAUAUGCGGCUUAACCCUGAAAAGUGUGCAUUCGGGGUCACCUCGGGAAAAUUUCUUGGGUUCAUGGUACAACAGCGGGGGAUUGAAGCCAACCCCGAUAAAAUUCGCGCGGUUCUUGACAUGAAAUCGCCAAGCACCAUUAAGGAGGUUCAAAGUUUGGCGGGCCGGGUAGCUGCUCUGAGCCACUUCAUCUCCAAGGCUACUGACCGGUGUAAGCCUUUUUUCAAAGCUUUGAAGACUGGCAAGAAGCUCCAGUGGACACCCGAUUGCGAAGAGGCUUUCCAAGAACUGAAGUGGUACCUCGUGAAUGCUCCACUACUUGCCAAACCUGAGCCGGGAGAGGUGCUUUUGUUGUAUCUCGCCGUAUCUGAGCAUGCCACCAGCUCUGUGUUACUCCGAGAGGAUGAUAAUGGGGUACAACGACCUAUUUACUACACUAGUAAGGCUAUGGUUGAUGCCGAAAAGAGGUACCCCACCUCUGAGAAGAUCAUUUUGGCAUUGGUGGUCUCCGCACGGAAGCUCAGACCAUAUUUUCAGGCUCACACCAUUGCGGCCGUCACCAACCUUCCCCUCCGGCAAAUCCUCCAGAAGUUAGACAUGUCCGGAAGGCUUCUCCGAUGGUCCCUCGAAUUAAACGAGUUCGACAUCAUCUUCAAGCCUCGUUUGGCUAUUAAAGCACAAGCCAUUACUGAUUUUAUUGCGGAAUUCGCCAAUGACUCAAGUGGUGAAGGUGACUUGAGAUACCUGUUAGAUACCUCACCCACCGAUGAAGGGGGGCAGGUCUGGGAAAUAUAUGUAGACGGUUCCUCUAACUCACAUGGAAGUGGUGCAGGAGUUAUUAUAAUCGACCCGAAUAAGGUGAAAAUAUGUUACGCCUUGCAAUUUGGAUUCAAGGCUUCAAACAACGAAGCCGAAUACGAGGCCAUCAUAGCGGGGUUGAGGAUGUCGAAGGCUUUGGGAGCAAAAAGGGUACACGUCAAGAGUGACUCCCAGUUGGUGGUAAGCCAAAUUACCGCACAAUAUCAAGCGAAAGAGGAAAACAUGAAAGGGUACCUCGGGAAAACCAGAGAGUUGAUGUCCCAAUUUUGUGAGGUUAAGGUGGAAAGGGUACCCCGACUGGAGAAUAGCGAAGCCGACACCCUGGCGAAAAUGGCAUCCCUUGGGGGUAGCCCAGUCAUCUGGUCCCAUCACAACAGAACAUAUACCCGCACCCAGUGUCGGUCUCCCAGAGCCAUUGGAAGUAGGAUCGCUGUCCAACGAGGUGCUUUGGAUGGAGCCUAUCAUAAGGUACCUCAAGGACGGAGACCUCCCCUCAGAUAAAAGUGAAGCAAGGAGAUUAAAGUAUAAAGUCGCCCGGUAUUGCCUGAUCCAGGAUACCCUAUACAGAAGAGGUUUCACUCUUCCUUACCUUAAAUGCUUGGGAAGCGACGAGGCCGAGUAUGUCAUGAGGGAGAUACAUGAGGGGAUUUGUGGCAAUCACUAUGGAGCACAAUCAUUGGCGCAAAAAGCCCUCCGUCAGGGGUACUACUGGCCAACUAUACGGGAAGAUGCCAAGAAUAUGGUACGAAACUGUGACAAAUGCCAAAGGUUCGCCAGGGUACCCCACCUACAAAAUGGGCGGAAGCAGAGCCACUAACAAGCAUCACAGAAAGGAAAACCACCGAAUUCAUUUGGAAAAACCUCAUUUGCAGAUUUGGAAUCCCCUAUGCAAUUGUCAGUGAUAAUGGUAAGCAAUUCGAUAAUGAAAAAUUUCGAAGCUUUUGUUCGGAGUUGGGGAUAACCAACCGAUUUGCUACACCUACUCACCCCCAAUCUAAUGGGCAAGUCGAAGCCGUUAACAAGAUUAUCAAAGGUAUCCUGAAGAAGAAGCUAGAAGAAAGAAAAGGAGCAUGGGUAGACGAGCUACCUGGGGUACUGUGGGCGUACCGAACUACUCAAAACACCUCCACCAGGGAGACCCCGUUUUCCCUCGCAUUCGGUGUUGACGCAGUGAUUCCAGCAGAAAUUGGGGUACCCUCUCACAGGGUUGAAUACUUUGAUGAGGCCGAGAACACCUCCUUGGUUGCUUCAAACCUUGAUUUAGUGGCUGAAAAAAGAGCUAGAGCAGAACUGAGGACAACCAUAUAUCAGCAUCGCAUUUCGGGUCUAUACGAAAAAAGGGUACGCCCUCGGUCAUUCAAGAAAGGAGACUUGGUCUUGAGAAGGGUAACUCAGAACACUAGGGUACCCUGCGAAGGCGCUUUUGGGGCAAAUUGGGAAGGACCUUACCGCAUCGACAAACCCGUUGGGACAGGUGCAUACAGGCUACUCCACAUGGAUGGCACAAUUGUGAGGCACCCCUGGAACGCUGCAAUGCUACGGAAAUAUUACUAAAGGACAGUGUCUCAACCUUUAGUCUUUUGCUGUUAUUUGCUUUCUUUAAUGUUUUUGUGUGGUAGGCCAAAUAGGGUACCCCAAAUGCCCUAUGUUGGUCAGUUGCAACUUUAGAGUUUCUUUAAUUGUCAAAUGAAAGGGAUAGGAGGUCUUGCGGUCUCCCAUUCUCCUCAGGGUAACAAAGCUAAGUCAUGUAUUGAUCAACGCUUUCGUUAUCUAUAAAUGCAUGUUCUUUCUCAACAAAUAUAAUGUGGGUUCUUUAUUUAUUUUUCUCUACUUCGAUCUUAGAGUGCGGAUUAUAUUCAUUUAUCGCCAUUAAUAUACCCUCGCAUCUGGUAAUAUGCAAUUCUCACCAUACGUUUGUCAAUUAUGACUAACAUAUCGCAGGACCAGCCAGGGUACCUGAUAUGCCCAGAUCGUGACGAUCUAUGUAAACCCAAGAUGGGCAACGGAGGGAACAGCCCGGGGGUAGCCUUUCUGCGGAAGCAUGAUAAAGCUACCUAAACAAAGAGAGGGAGGGUCAGAGAGGACCCGAGGGUGAAGAAAAACCGGCAUACCCUAGCGGCACGAAGUUCGGCUUAGGUAUGAGAACACCCACACCUCCGUCCUCGUACUUUUGCAAAGUAUGGGGUAAGCUAUUCAAAAAAUUCGGAGAAAACUUCGAAAGAAUAAGAAAGUGAUUGGUUGGACCAAUUGCGCUUUCAACGUUUGAUCGAGAUGUCGCGAUGAUAUUUUGAUUACCUAUUUGUGGGGAAUCUGCCAUAGUUUCCGAGAAGGACAUGCACCACAUUUUUAGGGAAUCCGCCUGAUGUUGGAUAUUUGUUAAGGUACCAGGGGUACCCCAUUUCAAAAAAAAAAAAAAAGAGGUACCCUAGACAUUUACAAGGUAACAGUUUAGUCAAGCAUUCAUUUGCAGAAUAACAAGCAUGCAAAGUACAAGAGAACUCGAUGGCAUGGUAUCAUAACAAAAGAGAAGUCCCAAUAAUACAAAAUAUCUCGAGAAACCAAAAAGAAAGAAACAAGGUCCAAAUAGCAAAAUGUGGAUAGGUCCGAAAAAAAAAAAAAAACAAGAGCACAGUAAGAAGGCUACACCGAGGGGGGAACGACAUCCCCAACAUCCGUCUCCAGAGGGCGAUCAGUAGAGGACUCCGAGGUACCCGGAAUAUGAGCAGCCGAACUAGGGGCAUCCGAAGCAGGCAACGGCUGAAGCUGAUGGGGUACCCGAGGCGACCCGGAGGGGGUACCCGACCGUGCCUGGGAAGGCUUCUUCCUCUCUGCAAUUGUCUUCAGAAUCGUAGCCUUGUUGACAAAUUUCUGCACCCGGGGUACCUCCAACUCCGGAUCCACACUCCACACCUCCGUCAUGAUGAGUGAGAAUGCAUCCUCUGCCAUCGUCUUUUGCCGAGAUAGCAGAUCCCCGUUGGUGGCCCUCAACUCCUCACAGUCCUUCUCCACCUUAGCUUUCUCUCCCGACAGGCCAGCAAUGCGUUCUUGCAGAGUUUUAACUUCUCGAGCAAGCUGAUCCUCGUGAGACUGACGGCUUUGGAGCUCACCCCUUAACUUGUCGACCUCUGACUGGGCGGCAACGAGAGAGUCAAGGUCUGGAAGGCAGUGGCUGAGGAGAAAAGAUGCCUGCGGGUCAUAAAAGACACGUUAAAUAUAUACGUGUGGCAAUAGGAUCAAGUAAAAAAAAAUUUUUUUUUGAAGGGUACACCCGGGGUACCCCGGGAAAGCCUACCUCUUGGGUAGCCCUAAGUGCUUGACCAUAGCGUUGGCUCAAACUCAUCUUGUCAGUCUCCUCAGCAACCUCGGAGGUAACAUUUUCAGCGGAGUAGUAGAAACAGCGAGCCAAGUGCGAAACCUCCUUGUUGGAAGCCGGGUCUAGGUCAUUUUCGCGCAACUCCUCAGGGAAAGCGGAAACCAGCCCGAAUUUUCUCUUCUUCGAGCGAGGGGUACCCUUCGACCCGCUGUGGGAGGUACCCUGAGACUUCCCCUUCGGACCGGGAGCUCGAGGAGGUCGGGAGCCUUUCGGGGGUACCGCCGAAUCCUGAGAUCCGGAAGCACCGCCCACUACCGCCUGGAAAAAGGCGUCGAAAGCGUCACCCGUCGAUUCCAUGACUGCACCCAAUGCACAAAAGUUAUGUUAGCUGGACAAGUACUAAGUACUGCAAAAGUAAAAAAUAGGAAAUGGAAAGCGGGGACGCGAAACGAAGAAUGCAAUGCUAAUGGGGUACCCCAGUCCCAUAAGUAAUAAUAGGAUACCCCCCGACACCCAAAUCAUACAUGAGUUACCCCCAGGAGCAGGCGGAGGACUUCGGUCAAUCAGCCCCGCUCUCCACAAUCGGCUCUCAUCUAGCACAUCACUACCCCUCUGUGCACCUCGAAGCCUGUCCACAAACUUCUUCACCUCUCUCCCCACCUCCUGAACUGGGCAUGAUCCUUUAGCCCAUGUCACACCUGCGAAAGCAUAAAGAACUCAAGGUUAGCGAGACAUUCAGGCGAAAGAUUCCGAUAAAGAACCAUAAGUAAGGGAGAUACUUACAGUCUACAUUGAAGGAAUAAGGAACCUCCACGGGGUCGCCCUUCUCACCCAGAGUCUCUGCCCCCCACCUACCCUCAGCGACAAACCAUCCCUUUCGGUAACUCUUCUUCAAGGCGGGGUUCCCCUCAACGAUGUGGCCAUGAUCACCCUAGGGGGAGAAGUAAGCAAUGCCGGGACCCUUAGGUUUCUUGAAUUGGUAAAGGCCCCUCAACUCCCGAACAGAAAUGUCGCGCUUCACGACCUCCAACCAUAACACAUGUAAGCCCGUCAGUGUCCUCCACCCUGGAAGAGACAGCUGCCCAGGAUCUACCCCCAAAUAACUAAACAUUUUCAUAAAGAAUGGUUGGAGGGGCAGGCGGAGUCCUAGAUCGAAGAGGUCGAUAUGGAGAGCAAUCCCAUCAGACUGUGGACACUCGGGUCUCUCAUCCACAUGGGGUACCCUGAGCUGGACAGACGGAGGAAUAUUGUAUUUGGCUCUAAUUUGCUCUAAGUCCCCCAAAGUAGCCCUCUUAAUGCUUAGGGAAAAAGGGUUGCUAGAUUUUGAAGGUGUGGCAGGGGGAGAUUUAGGCGGCUGGUCCGAGGAACGAGCUGGAACCUUAGGCUUGGUUGACUUACCCUUCUUUCGAGGAUUGGGGGUAGGCCGUUUACUAGGAAAGCGUGGGCUGACACGAGGGGUACUCCUAGAGGGAGGGGGCUCAGAACGAGAAUUACAAUUCUUGGAGGAACUAGGAGGGGACCGAUCCCCCUCACUAAUGGAGAUGUGGGAAGGGGAAUCCGCAGGAGGGCUGUCAACCCUACUAGCCCCAACUUUACGUCGCUUCAUCACGGGUCCCGUGUGUUUCUUACCCAUCUACUUUCCCCCAACAAUACACCCAACGAUACACCCAACAACACAUCCACAAGCCCCCAACAACACAUCCAACAAGCCACAUGUUUUCCCAACAGCAACAUAUCCAUACCAAGCACUAUCCAUCACACAUCAACCACCAAAUGCAAACACCAACCAACAAAAAAAACAAAAACAACAAAAACAAAAAUAAAUUUUUCUCAGAGUAUGCAAAAUAGCGCCACUGUGAAUGCGCCAAAAGAAGAGAAACAAGGAGGGAUACCUAUGAUUCACCAAUUCGACAGAUCAGGAUUGACAAUCGCGGGGAGACGAAGCUGCAGGCAACCAAAAACAGUGGGUAAAAUAUGCAAGUAUAAAAAUAAAGAAUAAAGCUUAAAUAUAUGUACUUAUUUAUAAAUAAGUAAAUAAAUAAAAUGAAGAACGAAGAAGCUGCAAUAACCGGCGUCGGCUGUAAUGGCUGCAACCACCGAGAACCGACGUCGACCACCGCAUCCACCGAACCGACGCCGAUCGCCGCAGCUGCCGCCACCAAGAAGAACUGACGCUGGAAAAAUGCAAAGGAGGACGUCGGCCGAAAAAAAAAAAAACUGAGAAGCUGCAGCCGCUAAACUAACUCCGGAAACCACCAAACCGACACCGGCUGCCACGGCUGCAGCCACCGAACCGACGCCGGCCGCAACCACACCAAACCGACGCCGGAAAUCACAAAGAAAAACACAAGCCGAAACGAAAAAGAGAAAAGAAAAAAAGAGAAGAAAAAGAGAGAAGACAAGGGAAGGAAGAGAGAAAGCACCAAGGGAAAAAUGAAGAAACGAUGAAGGAGGGGUUACCGUGUGUAUCGCCGGACUGAGAUCUCGCCGUGAGCCGCCGGAAAUCGCCUUGAACCGACCAGAUCUGGAGCCCAAAACCGCCACUGCAGCAGCCGCGAUCCACGCCGGAAAACGUACUAGAUCAACGCCGGCCGAGAGAGAAAGAGAAAAAAGAAUGAAAGAAAAGGAAGAAGGAAAAGAGAGAAAAAGGAAGGAGAAACGUGAGAAAGAAAAGGGAGAAAGAAAAUGGGAAAGAAAGAAAACGGAAGAAGAAAGAAAUAAAAGAAAAAGAGUAAAGGGAGAAUAGAGCCUAGGGAAGAUGAACGAGCGUAAAUUUAUUAAUUUCGUUCUACUAAUUUAAGUUAAGUUUAUUGAGUAUUCCAGUUAUUUUAAGCUAAAAUGGACAUUUUCAUAAUUUUAUCACAUAAUCAAACGAAUAAGUGUAUAUUUUAAGAUGGUAAAGAUAGUCAAUAGGUAAACUUAAAGGAAAAACUAAUGGCAAGGUUGGUUUAAUGAGUUUUCAAAAUAUUGGUGGUGGAAUAACGAUAAUUAAUUUAUUUAGGUGUGCAAUUGAAUUUUGAUAUGUACUAGUGGUGCAAAAAAAUAAUAAAUUCAAGUUGAGUCAAAGGCAUGGUAAGAACGCAGACUCCCCAAAGCCCACGACAUAGAUUAUCUAAUGAUUUUUUUAAUUUAUAAAAUUAAAAAAAGAGUUAAUGUUGACUUCGUUUUACCCCAAAAAAAAAAAAAAGUAUGACACUAUUAGGCAUCAAUUUCAAAAUAACGCGGUUUGAUCAACUCCAAUUUAUGAUGUUAUUAUCAAAUGAUAAAUUUUUCUAAUUUUUAGAAGUCGUUUCUUAUCAAAUAAUCAGGGAUUGAAAUAAAUAGCAUAAAAUAACAAAAAUAAGAAAGUUAAGUUGAUGUCCACUGAUUUGUGUAAGUAAAAAGUUUGACUCUUAAAAAGACAUUAAUUUCAUGAGAGACAAUAACGCCAUUUUGAUCCUCUCUAUAAUUAAUGAUGUUAUUUUCAAAUAACAAAAUUAUCUAGCUUUUGGAAAUCUUGGAGAGAAACUAAUUUGGUCGGUUUCUUGAUUAAUGAUUUGAUGGUCAUCGAAUAAUGCAUGACUUGGAAAGAUCUUCCCCCGUUCUUCAAGUUAUUAUUUGACUUUGUUAGUAAAAGGCCUAUCAGAAAGGUUUUUAAAUUCUGGUCUUCUGAGAUUAAAUUAAGUCACAGUUUAAGUUAUCUCAAGAAUAUGGGUUUGGUCAAAUUUUUCUCAGUUAUCUCAAUAUUGUUGCUAAUUCAUUGGCUAAUCAAAGACACAGUUGCAAAAAUUCCUCUUGGAGAAAAUUGAGGAAAAUCUUCUUGAAGAUGGCUAAAUUAUAAAAAGAUAGUACAUGGUGGCCGGACGGAUUAUAAAUUAAGUAAAUAUAUCUAACUUCUUUAAAAUUAAAGCUUCAUAAGACAUAACUAAUGCUCUGUAUGAUUUUAUUAUUGGCUUCCGAAAUUGCACGAUAGGACAGCUGAAAGCAUUUUCCAUUUACUACUUCUUCGAAUUGACUGUUAGGAAAUUGGUAAGUGAAGCAGGAUCGCAACUAAAAUAAAAUUGGAAGAAAUAAAGAAUAAGCACAAAAGAGAAUACCAGAAAUAACAUAGUUCAGCUUUUAGCCAACGUCCACGGGCGAAAAUAGAAGGAAAUAUUUUAUUAGUGAAAUAAGGAUUACAAAUGUUGUAAUAUUUUGGCUCACUACCCAAAACCCGAAUACACCCAAUCUCUCACUCACUAAUUACACAAGAGCAUUAAAACUCUUAAUCUCUCACACAAUUCUUUCUCUUUUACAAAACAGAGAAGAGAAACUUAAGGAAAAAAUGGAAUGAAUUUGCUCAUUCUCUUCGUUUCUAUUUAUAGAGAAAGCUUUGGCACUAUUCAUCAAUUAUAUAUUAUUUUUUUCUUUAGACAGCACCUCCCAUUUUUUUUUCUUUCUUUCUUUCUUCUUUUUCUUCUUUCUCUUUUAUUUCCUUCAAUUUGAUUUUGGCUAGGCCACCACCAGCUUUGACAUUUCUCCCGCUUGGAGAUUUGAUUGAGAAUCAAUCAAUCCCCACACCAUCUUUUCUGCUUCGCCAUAAUCAUGUUACCUACGUUUCUGCUAGGCCACAAGAAGAUCUAGUCCAGACAAACUUAUCAGUAUUUAUCGGCUUAGUCAAAACAUCUGCUAGGUUCUCCUUCGUAUGGAUGUUCUGUAAAUCCACAUUUCCGUCUUCCACUACUUCUCGAACGAAGUGAUACUGAACUCCUAUGUGCUUUGUCCUGGAAUGAAAGGCUGGAUUCCUUGCAAUGUGUAAGGCACUCUGACUGUCACAAAACAUAGAAAUUUUCUCUUGUUUGUGCCCGAGCUCCUCCAAUAACCUUUGUAUCCAAAUAACUUCCUUACAAGCUUGUGUAGCUGUCAUGUACUCUACUUCUGUUGUAGAUAAAGCCACAACAGUCUGCAGUUUUGAAACCCAGCUUACAGCUGCUCCCGCAAAUGUAAACACAUAACCAGUAGUGGAUUUUCUUUUGCUCAAGGAUUUUCUUUUAUCAAGAUCUCCUGCAAAAUCUGAAUCCACAUAGCCCCUGACAGUAAAUUCUGAUCCUCCAUAACAUAAUGCAACAUCUAAGGUUCCUCUGAUGUAUCUCAGAAUUCUCUUCACAGCUAUCCAAUGUUCUCCACCCGGAUUUGCCAUGUAUCGACGGACUGCUCCCACUGCUUAUGCAAUGUCCAGUCUAGUACAUAUCAUAGCGAACAUCAAACUUCCCACUGCUGAUGCAUACAGUACUCGAGACAUUUCUUUCCUCUCCGCUUCAUUGCUAGAACACAUACUUGAAUAUAAUUUGAAAUUAACAAGAAGUGGGGUAGAAAUUGACUUACAAUCUUGCAUGUUGAAGCGCCGCAAGAUUUUCUUCAAGUAAUUCUUCUGCGAAAGCCAAAUUUUCCUGUUAUUUUUGUCUCGGUGAAUUUGCAUCCCUAUAAUCUUGUUUGCUGGUCCCAAGUCCUUCAUUUCAAACUCCCUAGCCAACUGUGCCUUCAAUUCUUGGACUCGAUCUUUGUUGGGGCCUGCUACCAACAUGUCAUCCACGUACAACAGUAAAAUAAUGAAAUCAUUAUCUUCAAACCUCUUAUAAUAUGCACAAUGAUCUGAACUGAGUCUAUUGUAUCCAAGGCUUAUAAUGAAGGAAUCAAAUCUCUCAUACCAAUAUCUCGGCGCCUGUUUGAGACCGUAUAGAGAUUUGUUCAACCUGCAAACCAAGUUCUCCUUUCUUUUUUUAUGCAAAACCUUCUGGUUGGAGCAUAUAUAUUUCUUCUUCAAGUUCUCCAUAAAGAAAUGCAGUUUUCACAUCUAACUGCUCUAGAUGUAGGUCAAAUAUAGCACACAUUGUCAACACUACUCUGACUAUUGUGAGUCGAACCACCGGUGAAAAUAUCUCGUUGAAAUCAAUACCUUCUUUCUGAGCAUAUCCUUUCACCACCAAUCUCGCACGAUACCGCUCCACUUGGUCAUUGCCAUCACGUUUGAUCUUGUAGACCCAUUUAUUUCCAAUGGCUUUUCUUCCACGUGGUAGUGGUACAAGUUCCCAUGUCUUGUUCUUGUGUAGAGCUUCAAUUUCUUCCUGCAUUGCUGUCAUCCACAAAGCAACAUCUGAGCUUUCUAAAGCUUCAUAGAAAGUUGAUGGCUCUCCAUCUUCUAUUAGAAGACAAUAUGCAACGUUGAUCUCUGUGACAUACUCUGAGUGCCACGUUGGUGGUCGUCUCUCACGAGUUGAGCGACGAAUUUCUUGAGCCUCGGACUCGACUAGUUCUUGUUCCUCGUGCUCUGGUGCUGCUUCAGAAGAAUCUGAAUCUUCUGGAUUAUUUUCGACAUAUACCGGCACAAUCCCUGACUUUUCUUUUACAGUGCUAUCACCUCCAUCUUUCAUUUGCAGUUGAUCUUCUACAAAAAUAACAUCUCUGCUGAUGACGAUCUUGUGGGCAGUGGGGUCUCACAGACGAUACCCCUUUACUCCAUCAGCAUAUCCCAAGAAGAUACAUCUUUUAGAUUUUGUAUCCAGCUUUGUUCUUUCUUGGGCAUUGUACAUCACGUACACAGGACAUCCAAAUACAUGUAGGUAGGAAUAAUCAGCUGGCUUUCCAGUCUACAUCUCCAUCGCUAUCUUCAGCCCAAUAACUGUAGAUGGCUAUCGAUUUACUAUAUAACAGGCCGUUUUGGUUGGUUCUGCCCAGAAUGAAUUGGGUAAAUCAGUAGUCUUCAACAUAGCUCUUAUUUUUUCUGUAAGAGUUUUGUUCAUCCGCUCCGCCACUCUGUUUUGUUGAGGAGUGUAUGCCACCGUGAACUGCCUCUAAAUAUCUUUUUGCUUACAGAAAGCAAGAAACUCACCGUCUCUAUACUCUCCAUCAUUAUCCGUCCUCAAGCACUUUAUCUUUUUACCAGAUUCAAGUUCCACCCGCGCUUUGUAUUCUUUAAACACUAGAAAUACAUCUAACUUUUUCUUAAUUGGAUACACCCAACAUGUUCUGGAAUAAUCAUCAAUGAAAGUCACCAUGUACUUUGCACAUCCCAUGGAUAUAUCCAGUGAUUCCCAAACAUCAGAAUGAAUCAAGUUUAGAAUGUAUUUACUUAUAGCAAUAGAUCUACUGAAUUUUAAUCUAUGCUGCUUACUUGUAACACAAUACUUGCAAAAUGGUAAACUUACCGAUUUGAGCCCCAGAAGCAAUUUUCGCUCAGAGAGAAUCUUCAAACCUUGUUAUGAUAUGUGGCCAAGUUUGAGAUGCCACAUCAUCGUUGACUCUUCUCCAUUUGAUGCGACACACGCAUCAGCCUCCUGUAGUGUUUCUUAUUUAAGCAUGAAUAGAUUAGCACCGAUCUUUUCUGCCUUCAUCAAUACAAGCGCUCCUUUAACAAUUUUCAUAAUUCCAUUCUCCACAUGAGUUUUGUACCCAUGACUAUCCAUUUGUCCCAAAGACAAUAGAUUUUUCUUCAAGCCGUUGACAUGUCGUACCUCCUCAAUUGUGCGAAUUGUACCAUCAAACAUUUUUAUUUUGAUAGUACCAGUACCAGCGAUCUCCAAGGCAUGAUCAUCUCCCAUAUAUACAAAUCCUCCUGAAAUAGGUUCAUAUGUGUGGAACCAUUCUCUCCGAGAGGUCAUGUGCCAGGUAGCUCCUGAGUCUAUAAGCCAGACAUCAGAUAGUCGUUUUCUGCCUUCUGAAAUAGUUGUUGCCUCGCUGUAGAGAAUUUCGCCAUCAUUUGAGGUACUUGCUACACACCCCUAAGCAUUUGAUGACUCAGGUUCUUUAACCUCUCUUAUCUUCUGGUUACUCCAACACUCCUUUUUGACGUGCCCUUUCUUGUCACAGUUAUAUCAUUUAACAUUCUUCUUACUUCUGGAUUUUAAUCUACCAUGAUUUUGACUCCCACUGAGGCCACAUUUCGUUGAUCUCCCUCUCGUCACCGAUAGCGCCUCUGCUUGCUGUGAACUUGCUUGUCUGUUUUCUUUAUUUUUCUGCCUGCUCUCCUCAUUUAAUACGGAGGCUGCAAAAUCAUCGAAAACUAUACUGUCCAUUGGAUUGUUGUUCGUCAGGUUGAUGAUGAGUUGAUCAUACGAAUCUGGUAGACUUUGAAGUAGAAGCUCUGCACGUUCAUUUUCCUCUAUAUUAUGACCGAACGUUGUGAGUUGUGAAAAUAGAGUCUUCAAGGUGUUGAUGUGGUCGGUCACCAUUGUAGAUUCCGCCAUUCGAAGAAUAUAGAGUUUUCUCUUCAAGAAGAUUUUGUUGUGUAGUGACUUGGCCUCGUACAAUUUUGUGAGAGUAUCCCAUAUUUCCUUUGUUGUACUUUUCUCUACCACACUGAAUAAUACUCCAUCUGCAAGUGCCAAGUGUAGAUCAGAAAUGGCGUUGCCAUCUAUCUCGUUCCACUUGUCAUCAGCUAUCUCCAUGGGCCUUUCUCCAAUUGCUGCCAAGCAAUUAUUUUUCCUCAAUACAACUUUUAUCUUCAUUUUCCACAACGAAAAAUUAUUUCCGUUAAACUUCUCAAUUUUAUACUUUGCCGCCAUUUUGUUGAUAAAUAUCGCACACAAGUUAGUGUACCACCUUGAAUAGUUGUGAGUAUGUGUGAGAAUUCACACCAGGAAAGUUCCCAGGAAAGACUGGAGGGGUCACAAUGGUCCCACUUAAAACCCAGACUCCUUAAGCUCUUAUCGCCUUUGUGACAGAACUUUCCUAGACAUGUACAAAAACCACACAGUUGUUUUACUCACACCACUAUUCCCUGCUUUGCAUCGCAAAAUUCUUGGACCGCUCCCACCGUUUCAUGUGAAUAGUACAGUAUACGUGAAUUGUACAGUAUAUGUGAAUAGUGUCAUAUACGUGAACAGUGCCAUAUACAUGAAUAGUACCCCCUUACGUGAACAGUACCAGACUUAAAAAAAAUACAACCAAUAGCUCUGAUACCACUGUUAGGAAAUUGGUGGGUGAAGCAGGACCGCAGCUAAAAUAAAAUUGGAAGAAAUAAAGAAUAAGCACAAAAAAGAAUACCAGAAAUUACGUGGUUCGGUUUUUAGCCUACGUCCACGGGCGAAAACAGAAGGAAAUAUUUUACUAGUGAAAUAAAGAUUACAAAUAUUAUAAUAUUUUGGCUCACUACCCAAAACCCCAAUAUACUCAAUCUCUCACUCACUAAUUACACAAGAGUAUUAAAACUCUUAAUCUCUCACACAAUUCUUUCUCUUUUACAAAACAGAGAAGAGAAACUUAAAGAAAAAAUGGAAUGAAUUUGCUCGUUCCCUUCGUUUAUAUUUAUAGAGAAAGUUUUGGCACUAUUCAUCAAUGAUAUAUUUUUUUUUCUUUAGACGGCACCUCCCAAUUUUUUUUCUUCUUUCUCUUUUGUUUCCUUCUUUUUUGUUUCCUUCUUUGGGCUGCUGCCAAAGCCAUGUUUAUUUCUUUGGGCGGCUGCCAAAGCCAAUUUGAUUUUGGCUAGGCCACCACCGGCUUUGACAUUGACUAGUAUCAUCUUCCUCGAUGGUACACUAGAACGCAUUCUCCAUUGCUAUUUAUUCAAAUGCACUAACCUGGGCUUCUUUUGCAUUGUGUUUAAACUAGUCCCAUUUUAAGGGGUUUUUUUUUUCUCCUCUCUAUUCUUUUCCCUAUUUCAGGUAAUAACAAGUGAAUUAGUUAUUCCGCCGUUGUUGUUCCUUUUGAUAUAUUCUUUCACAUGGGGUUGUUCAUUUUUCUUGUUUCUUGUUCUUUUUGGAACUUCCAUUGAAGCAAGUAAAGUCAUUUUACUUAUAAGCUGCUGCAAGCUGUUAAAAAAGAUGGCAAUUAAUUAGUUUCUCAUUUUCUUGUUGAUGAAGCCUGUAUAUGAAUAAAUUACGCGCUAGCUUGUCAUUUUGUUAUUAAAACCUUUAUAUGGCAUGUUCUGCUUUCUGUUUUCUAUUUUUUUUUUGUGAGAAAAUUUUCUAAAUACUUAAUUUUUCUUUUUCCCCUGAAUAUCUACAGAAUGAUUGCUAGAACAACGAUGGGCCAAUGGUUCAAUCUUUUAGUAUGUGCACUCUUAAUACUGAAAGCUCAAGCAUGCUUUAAUGUAUCAAUCACCUAUGUUGAAGAUGCUGUAGCGAAAGGAGCUGGUGGGGAUUAGUACAUAUUUAUAUUGAUGCUUCAUUUUGUGAUUUUCCGUUACUGCGUACUGUAGUUUGUUAGCUGUUUAAUAUGUUUUGCAGUCUGUUUGGAUGGCAGCCCACCUGCUUACCAUUUUGAUAAGGGGUUUGGUGCCGGGAUCAAUAAUUGGUUGGUGCACAUUGAUGUAAUGUCCUCCUCUAUGUAAAAACAUUUCUUAUAUUCACUGCAACUUUAAAUGAUAUGGAUGAAGAGUAAUCAGUCUUACAUAUUAUAGUCAUAAGAAUUCUGGUGAUGUUUACAUUUACCAUUCAUGCUUGUAUUCAUCAUAUACUUUUUUGUUGAUUCAAUUUGCCUUUGGCUUCGGGUUCUUAGGGAGGAGCAUGGUGUAACAAUGUCGCAGAUUGUUCUAACCGAAGGGAUUCCUCACAUGGUUCAUCUAAGUAUAUGGUGAAGGAAGCUAAUUUUACUGGGAUACUAAGUAAUGAGCAGAAAUUUAACCCAGGUAUGACCUUUUUGUGUCGCUUAUUGAUUUGAUUGAUGCAAAUCAAUAAAUUCCCCUUUCCAUUUCUAGACUUCUACGAUUGGAAUAGAGUCAAGGUUAGAUACUGCGAUGGGGCAUCGUUUACUGGAGACGUAGAGGCUGUCAAUCCAGUAAGUUAACUUUUGCCAAAAUUUUCUUAUAUACAUAUUCUUGGGUUCUCUCGUGUGAUAUUUAGUUAGUGAUUUGAUCAGGAAACUAACCUUCACUUCAGAGGAGCAAGGGUUUUUGAAGCUGUCAUGGAGGAUCUAUUGGCUAAAGGAAUGAAAAAUGCUCAAAAUGUAAGAUCAUUCUGUUUUUGUUUUUAAAAAUAUGUUCAUUAGAUUGAUAUGUUUGAUAACUCAUUCGCACUUAUGACAGGCUAUACUUACUGGUUGUUCCGCUGGGGGUUUGACUUCGAUUUUGCAUUGCGAUAACUUCCGAGCUCUCUUUCCCGUUGAUACUAGAGUAAAAUGCUUUGCAGAUGCUGGCUAUUUUGUGAAUGUGUAAGCUCCUGUUCUUUCAUCAACCAUGAUGUGGCAGUUGCUUCAGUUGUUUUUCUUUUCCGAAAUCUGAUUCCCUGGUGUAUUUUUCAAUAGGAAGGAUGUUUCUGGAGCAAGUCACAUUGAGGAGUUUUAUAAACAAGUGGUCGCAUUACAUGUACACACUCUGUCUCUCAUCCUCUUUCAUGCUUACCGACACAAAAUAAUGUUGUUACAUCUUGUGUAGGGAUCGGCUAAGCAUUUGCCAGCAUCCUGCACUUCGAGAUUAAGUCCAGGAUUGGUGAGUUCCACCAUUUUAAUGUUUCUACGUUCUAGUCUUCAUCCAUUCGUUUAUGGACUGACCGAUUCCUUUUAAAAUGACAGUGUUUCUUCCCACAAAACGUAGCAGGGCAAGUCAAGACACCGCUAUUUAUCAUCAACUCAGCUUAUGAUUCAUGGCAGGUUAGCAUAGUUCUUCAAUGUCUAAGAUCCAAUGACAGAAAAUGUGAUACAUAAGCUUAGUGCAAGAAGAUAAUUUUUUGUACUUAAGUGACAUAUCAAGUGAAGCUUGAUUCUUGGGCCUUCUUGCACAAGCAAAAAGAGACUGGUGGAAGAUUGGCACAUUUUUGAUAUGUUAUAUUCGAAGCCACUGAAUAAUUUCAAUAAAUUAUGUGCAAUUUCAAUCUGGUAAUAUUGUUACAAGCGGAAAAUGGCGUGCACAGAUAAGGAACAUUUUGGUUCCGGACAAUGCUGAUCCGAAAGGAACUUGGAGGCGCUGCAAGAAGGAUAUAAAAAUGUGCUCAUCUACUCAGCUGCAAACUAUGCAAGGUAAUUCCCCAAAGCCCCGGAUUACUGCUUUCCACAAAAGACCUUUUUCAUUUUAUUGUUGAUAAUUCAAAGUGUCAAUUCUCGUUGUAUACUUUUCAGGUUUUAGGGUGCAAUUCCUGAAUGCAUUGGCCGGACUUGGCAACUCUUCAUCCAGAGGAAUGCUUAUAGACUCUUGUUAUACUCACUGCCGAACCGUGUUUCAGGAGGCUUGGUUGAGUGCUGACUCUCCGGUGCUGGAUAAAACGGUACGAGUUAUGAUUUCAUCGUUUUGACUUGUUUCCUUUAACAUCUUGAAGUACCAUUGAUUCCCAUUUUUAAGGAUUGAAAAUAUGUUCUACGCAGCCUAUUGCAAAGGCAGUGGGAGACUGGUAUUACGACAGGAAUCCAUUCCAAAAGAUUGAUUGCCCUUACCCCUGCAACCCAUUGCCAGAGAGUUGCUUUUGAAUGGACCUAUUAAUGUAAUGUACACACACAUAAAAUUACAGACCUUGUGUCAAAGCAGAACAAAAUGUAAGAGUCAAGAUCAUUGAGUAGUCAUCAAUGAGCUUGACUGAGUAAGAAUAAAAUGGAUAAAGAGUAUAUGAUUGAUUGAUCAAGUCAAUGAAAUAAUUAAACAGAGGCAACCACCGCACUCAACUUAUGUGCUGGGUGUCUUCUAUCAUUUUCUUAUGUAAUUUAUUUUUCUUAUGUAAUUUAUUGUUGUAACUUCAGUGAAAUAAAUAUUCCAUUUCUUGUUGUUGGAUUGUUGGCAGUAGACGAUCAAUUAUUUAGGAAUCAUUUUGUUUAAUUUUAGUAAUGUCCUAAGACCAUCCUUUUUCCUUUUAACCUUUCACAGUGUGAACUAGUGUGUAUGCAUAGUUAUUUUUUGCUGCAUAAAUAACCAAGUUUAAUUAAAGCUAAUAUUAUAAAAAUAAAAUGCUCUUGCGUCUUGGCACCUUUUUUUCCCCCCUUAAAAUAAUACACUAAAUUACUUAAAUUUUUUAAAAUUAACUACUCUAAUUUUUUUUAUAAUUUCAGAAGUAUUUUAUGCAAUCAAUAAAAUAAGGGAAAUUAUCAUUGCACUACCUUCCUUUUACCUUAUGAUCAUUUAACCACCACAAAAUUUUAACAUGUUCUUUGCACCACCUUUCUUUUUAAAUUUAUAUCAAUUAGCCACUUUUGCACUAACACCGUUGAAUAAUUUAAAUGAAAUGACAAUCCAGAAAUUAUAUAAAACGGUAUUUUAAUUUAAUUAGGGGUAAAUUUGUUAUUUUGUUUAAAUUAUUCAACGGUGUUAGUGCAAAAGUGGCUAAUUGAUACAAAUUUAAAAAAAAAAAAGUGAUGCAAAGAACAUGUUAAAAUUUUAUGGUAUUUAAAUGAACAUAAGGUAAAAGGAAGGUGGUGCAAUGAUAAUUUCACCUAAAAAAAUAGUAUUUUUUUUUGGAAAAAAACAAAGAAUAUUUUUUGAACAAAAAAAUUCACCAAUUUGAAGUUCAUAUCAAAAUAACACUAAAAGUUCACUCUUCAUGUCUUUAAGAACGUAGAUUAAUUAUAUUACACUACAACAUUUUAGUUCAUACUCCCAAAUAUCCCCAAAAAAAAAUGUGACAGACAUCUAUCCAUACCUUAAAUUUCAUCUUAAAUGAUGUGUCAUUCAAUAAAUUAUUUUUUUAUAAUAUUUAAAAAAUUAAUUUUUUAUAAUAAAAAAAUCUUUUAGUAAUUAAAAAGAAAAUACCAAGAAACUCCAGCUCUUGACAUGAGAUAUUAAAAAAAAAUUAUAAUGUGCCGUCAAGAUACAUAUCUUAGUAAUGGCGUGAUAUCAUUUGUAGAAGGCCCAAAUUUGAAGACGGUCCGUCCUUGGCCCACCCCACAAUUUCACCAUUGCAUACUUACAUUGACAAUAAAUACUCUUCUCUCGGGGUUUUUAAUUAAAGAUGCCCUAAAAAUGAGGUAUUUAGUUAAAUAUAUCUCAUGGUUGAAAAUUAUUUAUAUAUACUUUUUUAUGUGGUACAUUAUCUAAAAUGCCUCUAAAGAAAAAUAUAAAACACGUAAUUAAAGAUGCUCUAAAAAUGGGGUAUUUAGUUAAAUACCAACUGUAAUAGUCUAUUUAGGCUAAGCAUUCCUUAAAUUAUAUGAUCCUCAUAUUAUAUCACAUAAAUUGUACAAAACUAUCUUGUUGUCUUUGAAUAUUACACUUAACAAAAAAUAAUUUAACACUACUAGUUAGAAAUACCUAACUAUAAUCUUGUGUCUAUGAAAAUAUUCAACUAUAGUCGUGUACCUAUAAAAAUACCUGACUGUAUUAAUGUAUUUUAGCCAGUCAUUCCUUCAAUAUAUAUGAACACCCUGAUCUAUAACAGACAUUAUACAAAAUUAUCUUCUUUCUCAAUAAUAUACUUAAGCAAAAAAAAAACAUGAAUACUGAUGUAAAAUCAUCUUUAAUGAUAUCAAAUGUCAAUGACAUUCCCAUUGCAACUAUUAUAUCUCAUGUUAAUUAAUCCAAAAAAUGGCAAAAUCACAACAAUGAAGUUUUUAAGGAUACGACACUAUGUAGUUGGUUUCAACGACCUGUGUCCAAAUAAUUUGAUAGCCAAUGCUUUUCGAAAUUAUGACACUAUGUAGUUGGUUUCAACGACCUGUGUCCAAAUAAUUUGAUAGCCAAUGCUUUUCGAAAUUAUGUAACAUCAUCAUAUUGACAAAAUGUGUUCACGUCAAGGCCAUAGGCUAGGACCUCCAAGUACUACAACAAAAAUGCUUCACAAUAAAAUUCAUAUACAUCAAUAAUAAAAUCACCAUUCUUAUUGAAAUAUAUAUAUAUAUAUGUGUGUGUGUGUGUGUGUGUGUGUGUGUGUGUGUGUGUGUGUGUGUGUGUGUGUGUGUGUGAUAUACUCAAUUGCAUCCCCUGAUUUUAUUGCAGGAUAUUACGUACUCACAAGGAUGAUCUUUAUUUAUGUCUUCUACUGCAGGAUAUUACGUACUCACAAGGAUGAUCUUUAUUUAUGUCUUCUACUGCAUCUAGUGAUAAUCAAUUAGAAAUAUUUGCUUUGAAGUAUUUAGAUUCCUUAAUUUUCAGUUCCCAUCUGCAUAAACAUAAAAUAUUUUAAUUAUAAUAUAAAACGACCAAAAAGUUGGAUAAUAACAUAUUCUAAACCAAUAAAAAAAAUUACACGACACACCAGUCGAGUAAAGCAUUCAUAACACAACUACAGUCGAGUAAAACAUUCAUUACGCAACUAUAGCCGAGGAAAGUAUUCAUUACAUGAUUACAGCCGAGUAAAGCAUUCAUUACACGAUUACAACAAGCAUAAAAUAUGUUUUGACUUCUAUAUUUCCUUGGAUUUAAAUCAUUUCAUGAUAAUACAUAAUGCUUACAACAUAAAACUACAUAAAAGCUAAAUAUGUUUUGACUUCUAUAUCUCCUUGGAUUCAAAUCUCUGUACAGAAUUUUAAGUGGAUGACAGUAUAGAAAAGAAUUUACUUUAAUAUGGCUUGUCAACGAAUAGAGAGAAUGAAUGAAAAUUUUGUUUAUUAUAAAAAAUAUAUUGAUGGACCAUUAAAAAGCCAAAUGGUCAUUUAAUCAUUAACAUAUUAUUUGAAAUCCAUUCAAUAUGGGUAAGAAAUAAUUAGAAUUGUAAAUUGAAGGUUCCAUAGCAAAUAAUAGAGAAAACCCAGAUUGCGACAUAAUGAACGCAUACACAGCUGAAGAAAAUUAAUAUAUAAUUUCCAUGGAUGAAGUCCAACUACAAACAAUAAAUAAAAUUAAACACAUAUCUAAUAGAUAAAUCAGUGUAGCCAUAAUCGAGUAGUCACAAGGAUAAUAUUUGUUUUAUCCAAUUCCCUUUGAAUAUUUAAUUAGGAACUCCUAUAACCAUUACAAGGAGAGUAAACUCCCUUGAAAUAACUCUCUUCAAUUUCAACUCCGCAAGUUCAAGAAGCUUCAUUACAUGAAUCAUGAAGAAACAUUAUCAGCAAGCAUGCAAGUGAAACAAAUAACUCGGCCAACUACAAUAAUGACCAAAAUCACGUGGGCAAUUUAUUUUUUAAAACCCUAAUGCAUAUAACCCCAACAAUUAUGAAUCCUAAAUUCUCUUUAUGAAGUAAAAAUUAAGUGUAAAUGUGGUAAAUAAUCUUUAAUUCGGUGAAUUUCCAGCCUUCAGUUUAGUGAAUUUCCAAUGAAAGUAGUGGAUUUGUGGUGUUAGAACCAGCAGCAAAAGAAGCACAAACUUACAGCAGCAGAAGUAUCCUGGGCAUUGAAAUAUCUGUGAUUUUGAAAUAUUAGAUUUUGAAUUGGGGUAAUUCUGUAAUUGCACAUUGAGAAAUUUUAGGGUCUAGCUAUGGUACCACUGUAGUAUCAUGUGUCACUAUAGUUGGAUUCAAUGGUUGGAUUCAGCUGUGGUACCAUAGUUUUGCUCGAAAUUUUGAAUUAUGAGGAUGUAUUAGGUAAAUACCCUACUUUUGGGGUAUGGCGUGGACAAAUUCCUGCUUCUCUCUCAAUCUCAAAAACACAACCUUCGCCCUUCGGUUGCAGUUGCAGUGUUAAUGGAUUGGAGUUUUGUACACACAACUUGGGAAAAAUGGGCUUCUACCAGUGUUGGCUCUUCCGGUAAUGUACCCUCCAAGAACCCCCUCGGGCUUUUCAUUAUUUUAGUUAUUACCACGUUAGAUAUAUUAGAUUUAUAAUUUAUAUAAUAAAAGGCUGCUGAUCAUGCCAGUGCAAGAGCUAUAGAGUAAGCAGCCAUUGAUUUUUGUUUCUAAAUUUUGCUUGUAGGUGAGCCCUUGAAGGCGGCUUUGCUUAUCAACCAGGACCCCACUGGUCCCUCUCGUUUGUUAUCCACUAUGUCAGCUUCGUGCUUUUUUUUUUUUUUUAAUAUAUAUUUUAAAUACCCUUUUAUAUAUAUGUUGUUCUGUUCAUAAGCAGUGAAAUUUUGAAGCUUCGUUAUGGUUUGUGCAGUGCAGAACAAGAAAGGUAUCAAGGCCGACGCGAUUGACUUGACUGAAUUUGUUGAUUUUGUCAAACUCAAUAAACUUCAGACUGACUGCUUUGUUAUUGGACAAAAAACCAAUGCAAGCUAUUCGUGUCUCCUUUACAUUUGUGAGUGAAAUUCAAUUGUUGGACUUGAAUUUUGCGGUGAAUUAUUUAUUAUUGCUAGAGUUGCUAGUAAGUUGAUCGUAAUGGUUUUAUCAUAUUGAUGACAAUUGACGCAGACAUAGUUACCUCGAUUCAUGAGAAUAUGACAAUUUUUAUAAGAGGAAAAGAGAGAGUCGUUCUCUUAAUCAAGAAAAAUACCAUUAAAUCUAGAAUAUAAAAAUUAAUGGCUGAAAAAUUAACGUGUGCGUGAUCUAUGGUCAAAUAUUCUAAAUCCUUGAAAUUAAAAUAACUUGAAAAAUUAAUAUUGAAAAAAAAUAAAUGAAAUUGUCACUUUCGAUCACAUAAUCAAUGAAAAUCAGGAUAUAAUCAACACCUAUUUAUUUUAUUUCUAAAUUAUGACUUUUUCAUUAUUAUUCAAAGAAGGGAGUUUUUCUUUAAAAAACUCUCACCAUAAUAUAAGUGGCUUAAACCUUUUUUUGUUUUGAAAUAUAAAUUAACUUAAAAGCAAACAAGUAACAAAAUUAUCUUUUAAGAAGGCUUUAUAUAUGUAGAGGGGACUAGUCCACCUAUGUCAAUUCUUCCAAGUUAGUGAAAUUGUGUGACUUUAUUUAAUUAGAAGGAGCAACAACUUCAAUCUCUAUUUAUACGUCAUUAUCCUUUAGCUAUAUUUGUGCGACUUUAUUUAUACGUAGGGAAAUGAGUUAACAAGUUAUAUUUUCCAAGCACCAAGGUAAAUUACUCCUUAGGUCAUUAUGGUCAAUAAAUGAGUCUUCAUUUUACAAUUAAUAAAUGUAUAAAAUAUUUGAACUAAUUAAUAGUAUAGUAUUAUAUAUGUUAAAUUCUUCAAAAAGUAAGAUAGAAUGUAUACUUGAUAAUUUCGUUCUACUAAUUUAAGUUAAGUUUAUUGAGUAUUCCAGUUAUUUUAAGCUAAAAUGGACAUUUUCAUAAUUUUAUCACAUAAUCAAACGAAUAAGUGUAUAUUUUAAGAUGGUAAAGAUAGUCAAUAGGUAAACUUAAAGGAAAAACUAAUGGCAAGGUUGGUUUAAUGAGUUUUCAAAAUAUUGGUGGUGGAAUAACGAUAAUUAAUUUAUUUAGGUGUGCAAUUGAAUUUUGAUAUGUACUAGUGGUGCAAAAAAAUAAUAAAUUCAAGUUGAGUCAAAGGCAUGGUAAGAACGCAGACUCUCCAAAGCCCACGACAUAGAUUAUCUAAUGAUUUUUUUAAUUUAUAAAAUUAAAAAAAGAGUUAAUGUUGACUUCGUUUUACCCCAAAAAAAAAAAAAAAGUAUGACACUAUUAGGCAUCAAUUUCAAAAUAACGCGGUUUGAUCAACUCCAAUUUAUGAUGUUAUUAUCAAAUGAUAAAAUUUUCUAAUUUUUAGAAGUCGUUUCUUAUCAAAUAAUCAGGGAUUGAAAUAAAUAGCAUAAAAUAACAAAAAUAAGAAAGUUAAGUUGAUGUCCACUGAUUUGUGUAAGUAAAAAGUUUGACUCUUAAAAAGACAUUAAUUUCAUGAGAGACAAUAACGCCAUUUUGAUCCUCUCUAUAAUUAAUGAUGUUAUUUUCAAAUAACAAAAUUAUCUAGCUUUUGGAAAUCUUGGAGAGAAACUAAUUUGGUCGGUUUCUUGAUUAAUGAUUUGAUGGUCAUCGAAUAAUGCAUGACUUGGAAAGAUCUUCCCCCGUUCUUCAAGUUAUUAUUUGACUUUGUUAGUAAAAGGCCUAUCAGAAAGGUUUUUAAAUUCUGGUCUUCUGAGAUUAAAUUAAGUCACAGUUUAAGUUAUCUCAAGAAUAUGGGUUUGGUCAAAUUUUUCUCAGUUAUCUCAAUAUUGUUGCUAAUUCAUUGGCUAAUCAAAGACACAGUUGCAAAAAUUCCUCUUGGAGAAAAUUGAGGAAAAUCUUCUUGAAGAUGGCUAAAUUAUAAAAAGAUAGUACAUGGUGGCCGGACGGAUUAUAAAUUAAGUAAAUAUAUCUAACUUCGUUAAAAUUAAAGCUUCAUAAGACAUAACUAAUGCUCUGUAUGAUUUUAUUAUUGGCUUCCGAAAUUGCACGAUGGGACAGUUGAAAGCAUUUUCCAUUUACUACUUCUUCGAAUUGACUAGUAUCAUCUUCCACGAUGGUACAGUAGAACGCAUUCUCCAUUGCUAUUUAUUCAAAUGCACUAACCUGGCCUUCUUUUGCAUUGUGUUUAAACUAGUCCCAUUUUAAGGGUUUUUUUUUUUUCUCCUCUCUAUUCUUUUCCCUAUUUCAGGUAAUAACCAGUGAAUUAAUUAUUCCGCCGUUGUUGUUCCUUUUGAUAUAUUCUUUCACAUGGGGUUGUUCAUUUUUCUUGUUUCUUGUUCUUUUUGGAACUUCCAUUGAAGCAAGUAAAGUCAUUUUACUUAUAAGCUGCUGCAAUCUGUUAAAAAUGAUGGCAAUUAAUUAGUUUCUCAUUUUCUUGUUGAUGAAGCCUGUAUAUGAAUAAAUUACGCUCUAGCUUGUCAUUUUGUUAUUCAAACCUUUAUAUGGCAUGUUCUGCUUUCUGUUUUCUUUUUUUUUUUUUUUGUGAGAAAAUUUUCUAAAUACUUAAUUUUUCUUUUUCCCCUGAAUAUCUACAGAAUGAUUGCUAGAACAACGAUGGGCCAAUGGUUCAAUCUUUUAGUAUGUGCACUCUUAAUACUGAAAGCUCAAGCAUGCUUUAAUGUAUCAAUCACCUAUGUUGAAGAUGCUGUAGCGAAAGGAGCUGGUGGGGAUUAGUACAUAUUUAUAUUGAUGCUUCAUUUUGUGAUUUUCGGUUACUGCGUACUGUAGUUUGUUAGCUGUUUAAUAUGUUUUGCAGUCUGUUUGGAUGGCAGCCCACCUGCUUACCAUUUUGAUAAGGGGUUUGGUGCCGGGAUCAACAAUUGGUUGGUGCACAUUGAUGUAAUGUCCUCCUCUAUGUAAAAACAUUUCUUAUAUUCACUGCAACUUUAAAUGAUAUGGAUGAAGAGUAAUCAGUCUUACAUAUUAUAGUCAUAAGAAUUCUGGUGAUGUUUACAUUUACCAUUCAUGCUUGUAUUCAUCAUAUACUUUUUUGUUGAUUCAAUUUGCCUUUGGCUUCGGGUUCUUAGGGAGGAGCAUGGUGUAACAAUGUCGCAGAUUGUUCUAACCGAAGGGAUUCCUCAUAUGGUUCAUCUAAGUAUAUGGUGAAGGAAGCUAAUUUUACUGGGAUACUAAGUAAUGAGCAGAAAUUUAACCCAGGUAUGACCUUUUUGUGUCGCUUAUUGAUUUGAUUGAUGCAAAUCAACAAAUUCCCCUUUCCAUUUCCAGACUUCUACGAUUGGAAUAGAGUCAAGGUUAGAUACUGCGAUGGGGCAUCGUUUACUGGAGACGUAGAGGCUGUCAAUCCAGUAAGUUAACUUUUGCCAACAUUUUCUUAUAUACAUAUUCUUGGGUUCUCUCGUGUGAUAUUUAGUUAGUGAUUUGAUCAGGAAACUAACCUUCACUUCAGAGGAGCAAGGGUUUUUGAAGCUGUCAUGGAGGAUCUAUUGGCUAAAGGAAUGAAAAAUGCUCAAAAUGUAAGAUCAUUCUGUUUUUGUUUUUAAAAAUAUGUUCAUUAGAUUGGUAUGUUUGAUAACUCAUCAGCACUGAUGACAGGCGAUACUUACUGGUUGUUCCGCUGGGGGUUUGACUUCGAUUUUGCAUUGCGAUAACUUCCGAGCUCUCUUUCCCGUUGAUACUAGAGUAAAAUGCUUUGCAGAUGCUGGCUAUUUUGUGAAUGUGUAAGCUCCUGUUCUUUCAUCAACCAUGAUGUGGCAGUUGCUUCAGUUGUUUUUCUUUUCCGAAAUCUGAUUCCCUGGUGUAUUUUUCAAUAGGAAGGAUGUUUCUGGAGCAAGUCACAUUGAGGAGUUUUAUAAACAAGUGGUCGCAUUACAUGUACACACUCUGUCUCUCAUCCUCUUUCAUGCUUACCGACACAAAAUAAUGUUGUUACAUCUUGUGUAGGGAUCGGCUAAGCAUUUGCCAGCAUCCUGCACUUCGAGAUUAAGUCCAGGAUUGGUGAGUUCCACCAUUUUAAUGUUUCUACGUUCUAGUCUUCAUCCAUUCGUUUAUGGACUGACCGAUUCCUUUUAAAAUGACAGUGUUUCUUCCCACAAAACGUAGCAGGGCAAGUCAAGACACCGCUAUUUAUCAUCAACUCAGCUUAUGAUUCAUGGCAGGUUAGCAUAGUUCUUCAAUGUCUAAGAUCCAAUGACAGAAAAUGUGAUACAUAAGCUUAGUGCAAGAAGAUAAUUUUUUGUACUUAAGUGACAUAUCAAGUGAAGCUUGAUUCUUGGGCCUUCUUGCACAAGCAAAAAGAGACUGGUGGAAGAUUGACACAUUUUUGAUAUGUUAUAUUCGAAGCCACUGAAUAAUUUCAAUAAAUUAUGUGCAAUUUCAAUCUGGUAAUAUUGUUACAAGCGGAAAAUGGCAUGCACAGAUAACGAACAUUUUGGUUCCGGACGAUGCUGAUCCGAAAGGAACUUGGAGCAGCUGCAAGGUGGAUCUAAAAACCUGCUCAUCUACUCAGCUGCAAACUAUGCAAGGUAAUUCCCAAAAGCCCCGGAUUACUCCUUUCCACAAAAGACCUUUUCCAUUUUAUUGAUGAUAAUUCAAAGUGUCAAUUCUCGUUGUAUACUUUUCAGGUUUCAGGGUGCAAUUCCUGAAUGCAUUGGCCGAACUUGGCAACUCUUCAUCCAGAGGAAUGCUUAUAGACUCUUGUUAUACUCACUGCCGAACCGAGUAUCAGGAGGCUUGGUUGAGUGCUGACUCGCCGGUGCUGGAUAAAACGGUACGAGUUAUCUGUUUCCUUUAACAUCUUGAAGUACUACUGAUUCCUAUUUGUAAUGAUUGAAAAUAUGUUCUACGCAGCCUAUUGCAAAGGCAGUGGGAGACUGGUAUUACGACAGGAGUCCAUUCCAAAAGAUUGAUUGCCCUUACCCCUGCAACCCAUUGCCAGAGAGUUGCUUUUGAAUGGACCUAUUAAUGUAAUGUACACACACAUAAAAUUACAGAUCUUGUGUCAAAGCAGAACAAAAUUUAAGAGUCAAGAUCAUUGAGUAGUCAUCAAUGAGCUUGACUGAGUAAGAAUAAAAUGGAUAAAGAGUAUAUGAUUGAUUGAUCAAGUCAAUGAAAUAAUUAAACAGAGGCAACCACCGCACUCAACUUAUGUGCUGGGUGUCU
This 36305-nucleotide long non-coding RNA is filed under the name Citrus maxima (pomelo). RNAcentral describes it as "long non-coding RNA (CMAX_LNC001487)". The record is from RNAcentral. Lineage: Eukaryota; Viridiplantae; Streptophyta; Magnoliopsida; Sapindales; Rutaceae.